Non-coding RNA from Trichobilharzia regenti, 45 nucleotides. NCBI's taxonomy places the organism in Eukaryota, Metazoa, Platyhelminthes, Trematoda, Strigeidida, Schistosomatidae. The record is from Rfam.
AUCCAGAUGAAGAGUCCCAAAUGGGACGAAAUCCUCAUCGUGGAU